Canis lupus familiaris (dog) is the source of this 511-nucleotide long non-coding RNA. RefSeq lists it as uncharacterized. The record is from RefSeq and is a predicted model, not a curated record. The transcript is spliced from 3 exons. Lineage: Eukaryota; Metazoa; Chordata; Mammalia; Carnivora; Canidae.
GGAAGAGGUGCUCACUUGAGGCUGGGAAAUCACUUUGUCCCCUACCCAAUCCCCACGAGCUCGACCACGGGAUGGCACUGUCUCCACUUUAGGGAAGAGGAGGCUGCAGGUCCCAACAGCUGUUGUCCAGGAAUCCUGAGCCCACCUUCUGGAUCCCAUCUUCAGAUGGUACUCGCAUGCCCUCCACAUGCCACUGGCCCCCAGGAGGAGACUAUAGAGCUGGUCUAGGCUUAGCCUCAGCCUAAAACAAGACAAGGUACAAGCAUAUGGGGCCACCUCCUUCCUCAGAAAACUUAAAAAUACAACUACCCAUAUGAUGUAGCAGUCCCACUUCUGGGUGUAUAUCCAAAGGAAAUGAAAUCACUAUGUCGAAGAGAUACCUGCACCUCCAUGAUCAAUGAAGCUUUAUUCACAUCAGCCAAGACCUGGAAACAACCUAAGUGUCCACUGACAGAUGAAUGGACAGAGAAGAUGUGGUAUAUACACACAAUGGAAUGUUAUUCAACCAUAA